Molecule: ribosomal RNA, 429 nt
Filed under: Pseudomonadota bacterium
Lineage: Bacteria; Pseudomonadati; Pseudomonadota
Description: Proteobacteria bacterium partial 16S ribosomal RNA
Rfam family: Bacterial small subunit ribosomal RNA
Source: RNAcentral
UGGGGAAUAUUGGACAAUGGGCGAAAGCCUGAUCCAGCCAUGCCGCGUGUGUGAAGAAGGUCUUCGGAUUGUAAAGCACUUUAAGUUGGGAGGAAGGGCAGUAAGCGAAUACCUUGCUGUUUUGACGUUACCGACAGAAUAAGCACCGGCUAACUCUGUGCCAGCAGCCGCGGUAAUACAGAGGGUGCAAGCGUUAAUCGGAAUUACUGGGCGUAAAGCGCGCGUAGGUGGUUCGUUAAGUUGAAUGUGAAAGCCCCGGGCUCAACCUGGGAACUGCAUCCAAAACUGGCGAGCUAGAGUAGGGCAGAGGAUGGUAGAAUUCCAGGUGUAGCGGUGAAAUGCGUAGAGAUCUGGAGGAAUACCGAUGGCGAAGGCAGCCAUCUGGCCUAACACUGACGCUGAGGUACGAAAGCAUGGGGAGCAAACAGG